This 576-nucleotide ribosomal RNA is filed under the name uncultured eukaryote. RNAcentral's name for it is "SSU rRNA". It matches the Rfam family "Eukaryotic small subunit ribosomal RNA", at positions 174 to 758 of the family's 1831-position model. The record is from RNAcentral.
UAAAAACCCCGACUUCGGAAGGGGUGUAUUUAUUAGAUACAAAACCAAUGCCCUUCGGGGCUCUUUGGUGAUUCAUGAUAACUAUACGAAUCGCACGGCCUUGCGCCGGCGAUGGUUCAUUCAAAUUUCUUCCCUAUCAACUUUCGAUGUUUGGGUAUUGGCCAAACAUGGUUGCAACGGGUAACGGAGGGUUAGGGCUCGACCCCGGAGAAGGAGCCUGAGAAACGGCUACUACAUCCAAGGAAGGCAGCAGGCGCGCAAAUUACCCAAUCCCGACUCGGGGAGGUAGUGACUAUAAAUACUGAUACAGGGCCCUUUCGGGCCUUGUAAUUGGAAUGAGUACAAUUUAAAUCCCUUAACGAGGAACAAUUGGAGGGCAAGUCUGGUGCCAGCAGCCGCGGUAAUUCCAGCUCCAAUAGCGUAUAUUAAAGUUGUUGUGGUUAAAAAGCUCGUAGUUGAACCUUGGGCCUGGCUGGCCGGUCCGCCUCACCGCGUGCACUGGUCCGGCCGGGCCUUUCCCUCUGUGGAACCCCAUACCCUUCACUGGGCGUGGCGGGGAAACAGGACAUUUACUUU